Molecule: RNA transcript, 2171 nt
Organism: Osmia lignaria (orchard mason bee)
Lineage: Eukaryota; Metazoa; Arthropoda; Insecta; Hymenoptera; Megachilidae
Source: RefSeq, a predicted model, not a curated record
GCGAUAAUCCUGCGAGCGAGUCAUUCACGUGGCUCUCGUCGUUUGUCACCCAGGCGAAAAGAAGAGAAAAUUGACGGUGGUUUCCGCAAAGUCAAGGACGCUCGAAAGUUUUUCUCAUGGAAUCACGUCGUUUCAACCACGAUCGAUACACGGGUCAGUCGUGAAACGAAAACAGGCUGGAACGACGAUCAAAGUGCAAUAAAUCGACGGCGACCGGCUGUGUGGCGCCACCCUGGAAACUUUCGCAACACCUGUUCGACAAAGCUCCCUGGAAAAGUUUAAUGAGAAACGAGGAAGAGACAACCGAGCGUGUGCGACGAAGAAUUAUGAUCGACAUACGGUCUUCAAACGGAUAAGAAGGAAUGCUUUCAAUGACGCCACGUCAAUGACAAACACCGAUCGCGAUUUCGUUGUUUCGACGUGAAAUUCUACACGGGAAGGAAAUCCCAUUACCUAAUAAUGGCACCAUCGAAGAAAGGGACGAGAAACUGGCUGGGCAAGAAACUAGUAAUAGAACCGCGUUAUGUCCAUGGACGGCAACGUAAACCGAUAGCCGUUUCGCGUCGAACGCAAGUCCGUCAGACUAUCAAUGUACCGGAAAUGGUGUAUAGAUUGCUGAACGCCACGAAACAUAACCAAGGUAGAGGAGAGGAUGAAAGGAUACCCCAAGGUAGAGUACGGAAAUAUGAAAGUCUUAGAGAAUCCUCGUACGAUAGCUUGCCCCUUCAUGAAAGCACGAUAUCGGUCGAUGGGUCCAAGUACACGAAAUCUGGAGCAACGUCUACAGAGAACACGUCGAGGGUAAUGGACGCUACGAAUAGCUCGGAGGGCAGCGUAUCCUGGAACAGUAGCGUAUCGAAUAUCUCCGUUGAACCGAUUACUCUCGUAAAUACGAUCGAUAACACCAGGGCGCUUCUGAAAAAGAAAUCUCUCGUCCAGGUUAUCAAUAGUUAUAUCAAAGCUGGUAUCGAGGAAGGUAAACGACAGGCGAAGAAGUAUAUUCGUAAGGCACUUUCGUUUGGCAUGAAAUCUGGUUACCUGAUCCCGGCUGACCGGCAAGGACAGGUGCUCCACGUGUCUCCGACGUUAGUAGAAAGCCGACGAAGCGACUCAGAAUCACGCAGAAGACGUCGAAGGACACGAAGGGGCGAGGAGGAGCCGUUUACCGAUCGUAAGGAGCAUCGCAAGGAAACACCACCGUGGAAUACGAAACGGAAACGACAUCGUGAGCCCACACCAUCGCCAAUGGCACCUCUCAAAAAGAGGAAAAAGAGAUCUACCUCGAAGAAUCCGGAAUCGAAAGUGGAUACCGUGAAAGCCACCCCGAAGAAGAAGCCUGUGGAGUCUGUUCGAAAUAAACCAUUGAAGAAAAAGAACAACGCGAUUACGAAGAAAAGAGGUAAGGUGACGCACACGACUCUUUCCCUUUCAUCGAAGGAACCUCGCGAGAAAGUGAAGAGCGUGGAGAAAACGAGAAGCAAACACAAAAACGAGGUAACGGAAAGGAGACGAAGUCGUAGCGAUCAAAACAGAAGAUCCCCGUCGACGAGAAACAACGAGAAGGAGAAUCGCAAGAAGGAACGUCGAGGGUCCAGCAACGAGGACAAUGACAGCGUAAAGUUCAUUGAAACCGAAGUCAACGAGAGGACAACGACGGAGAGGCGAGGAUCGGAAUCCAGUCGAGAGGAUGUCCCACGGGAUAACGAUGUAUUGCCAGGAAAUCCUGGCAAAGAAGUUGAAGAACCUUUAGAAACGCCCAGCAACGAAGACAAUGCUCUGAGAAACAUAAAUUGAUCGACCAUUUCCUGUACCAUUUUUGUUUUUUAAUGAAAUAUUUGUCACAUUUUGGACAAUACCAUGAAUUUUCGACGAAUUUAGAAUUGUUAGAUACACAAAUUUGUUGAUUUGAUUUUGUAAUAAAGUUAUUUGGAGAAAAUGAAAGACGAGGAUAGACUGAGAAGGAUAAGGUGGUGUAAAUUUACUCGAAGGACUUGAGAAUCCCUUCAUCGAAAGGCUAUGUCUUCAACAGCCUUCAGGUUGACAAGGACGUUUCUAAAACUAAUAAAGUCGACAAUUUCUGAAAAUUUGUAUCCCAGUUAUGUUUCCAGGAAUCAUGGAAUCAAUGAUACUCUUAGCAACGACAAUUUUACAAUUCGCGGUAGAACUCUUUU